CCUACGGGCGGCAGCAGUGAGGAAUAUUGGUCAAUGGGCGCGAGCCUGAACCAGCCAAGUAGCGUGAAGGAUGACUGCCCUACGGGUUGUAAACUUCUUUUAUAAAGGAAUAAAGUGAGGCACGUGUGCCUUUUUGUAUGUACUUUAUGAAUAAGGAUCGGCUAACUCCGUGCCAGCAGCCGCGGUAAUACGGAGGAUGCGAGCGUUAUCCGGAUUUAUGGGGUUUAAAGGGUGCGUAGGCGGAUCGUUAAGUCAGUGGUCAAAUUGAGGGGCUCAACCCCUUCCCGCCAUUGAAACUGGCGUUCUUGAGUGGAAGAGAAGUAUGCGGAAUGCGUGGUGUAGCGGUGAAAUGCAUAGAUAUCACGCAGAACCCCGAUUGCGAAGGCAGCAUGCCGGCUUCCGACUGACGCUGAAGCACGAAAGCGUGGGGAUCGAACAGGAUUAGAUACCCUUGUAGUC
RNAcentral lists this ribosomal RNA (459 nucleotides) under uncultured bacterium. RNAcentral's name for it is "partial 16S ribosomal RNA". It matches the Rfam family "Bacterial small subunit ribosomal RNA", at positions 338 to 795 of the family's 1533-position model. The record is from RNAcentral.